ACAGCUUUCGUAAAAUAGGCUCCCAAAGCUCAUUGACUUUAGCUGGAUCACGAUUGCUAGCUAAAAUCCGAGCGUUCAAUAACUGAGGAAUACACUUACAACAAGCAGAACGAACCCCGUCGUGAAAGAAGAACUUCAAUCCUGGAAGUACAACAGAUGUCAAAACUUCAUUGACGUAAGGAUCAAAGUCAGCUUUUAACUCAGCAGCAUAGCAGACAAGCAUUUCGGUGGCAGUACACUUGUCUUCUAACGUACUAGUCCUAAUACCAACCUGUUGACCAUGAACGGGAAUGAACUCCCAACCAUCUUGUUCAGAAUAUUUGCUUUCAUCAACCUCGUCGUCUAUAAUUGUGAAGUCAGGUUUCGAGGUAGCAGCAACCAACAGAGGAGGCAUAACUGAACUCAAAAAUGGGACAAAAUCGCUUCCUAAAACACGGCAAAUUCUUCCCCAGGCAGAGAUGAGAUAACUAGCUUGAGGAUCAUCACUGUCAGUAAUACCCAUUUGAAUGUUACCUA
Molecule: non-coding RNA, 516 nt
Organism: Schizosaccharomyces pombe (fission yeast)
Lineage: Eukaryota; Fungi; Ascomycota; Schizosaccharomycetes; Schizosaccharomycetales; Schizosaccharomycetaceae
Source: the annotation of a GenBank genome assembly